AGUGAACGCUGGCGGUAGGCCUAACACAUGCAAGUCGAACGGCAGCACAGUAAGAGCUUGCUCUUACGGGUGGCGAGUGGCGGACGUGUGAGGAAUACAUCGGAAUCUACUUUUUCGUGGGGGAUAACGUAGGGAAGCUUACGCUAAUACCGCAUACGACCUACGGGUGAAAGCAGGGGAUCUUCGGACCUUGCGCGAGUGAAUGAGCCGAUGUCGGAUUAGCUAGUUGGCGGGGUAAAGGCCCACCAAGGCGACGAUCCGUAGCUGGUCUGAGAGGAUGAUCAGCCACACUGGAACUGAGACACGGUCCAGACUCCUACGGGAGGCAGCAGUGGGGAAUAUUGGACAAUGGGCGCAAGCCUGAUCCAGCCAUACCGCGUGGGUGAAGAAGGCCUUCGGGUUGUAAAGCCCUUUUGUUGGGAAAGAAAAGCAGCAGGUUAAUACCCCGCUGUUCUGACGGUACCCAAAGAAUAAGCACCGGCUAACUUCGUG
Molecule: ribosomal RNA, 492 nt
Filed under: uncultured bacterium
Lineage: Bacteria
Description: partial 16S ribosomal RNA
Rfam family: Bacterial small subunit ribosomal RNA
Source: RNAcentral